Long non-coding RNA from Pongo pygmaeus (Bornean orangutan), 1368 nucleotides. RefSeq lists it as uncharacterized. The record is from RefSeq and is a predicted model, not a curated record. Lineage: Eukaryota; Metazoa; Chordata; Mammalia; Primates; Hominidae. The transcript has 3 exons.
AGUAACAGGCAGAGUGCCAUAGUGUCAGUCCCUUUUCCCAAACUCCGAUCAGGAAGGAAACACCCCCACCCACUCCGCUCCCAUCCCCAGAAGUCCCUUAGAAGCUCUUUUCUCCCCGAAGAGGACCCUGGGAAGGUGGCUGCCGCUUCACUCCUAGAGUGAAAUCCUCGCAGCCCUGCCCUCGCGGGCGGAGCAGAGACGCCGCCGCUUGGCCGGUUCACGCCUGUCACACAAAGCCGCCGAGGGUCGGCUGCGCCCCUGGCAAGGCCGUAGGGCUGGGGAUACUGAGUAUGACAGGCGAGGUCCCUGCUCUCAAGAACUUACGUGGGUGAGAAGGGGAGACGAGACAAACAGAUGGAGCAACUCAACCCAAAAAUGUUGGUCUGUAUGGUGACGGAAUGUGGUCUCCCAGUUUUCAGCAUAGCACUCAUUCAGCUAUUCUACUCUUCAGAAAGCAGGAGGGAUGUGCCCUAAAGUGGAUUAUUGAAAUGAUGAAAGCCACUGAGGAAGAGCCAGAGAAUUCUCAUAGCUGUGAUUAGACAUCAACCUGGGGCAUGCUAAACAUUUCAGCCUGGACACCCUGAGAAGAGCCAGUGCUAUUGGUGACAGCUGCUUCUGUGAGGGCUUUUGCUUGGCCAGAGAGGCAGGACCUUCUCCCUGGCAUUUUGAGGAGUGGUGCCGGGUGGGCAGUGACUGCACUAGCAACAGUCUAUACCAAGAGAAGGCUGCAAAUUCCCAGAGAAGAAAGGCAGCGAGGCCAAGAAACGCUGCCGCCGCUUAACAAGUGAAGACGCAUACUGGAGAAUAGGAACUGAACAUGCGAAGGAGUUUGGGCUUUACUGCCUUCUCUCCUAGCAUUGGACAGAUCUUCUGUGCUGUGAUUAUUCUCCAUGAAUCAUCAUCCAUAGAAAGUGACUGAGGCAAUAGAGAGUGAAUAAUGAAUCCCUCAAAUAGUCUUUUGUGUUUCUGCCUGGAGGGUUUUGGAAAUAACUUGCAUCUUAAUCUUUCCGACUUAGAAUCAUAGAAUUUGGGAGCUGAAAAGGACCUUCAUCAGGGCAUGUGGCCUCACAGAAAGACUGGAAGAAAAGAUUUGUGGGUAUGAACCUCUGGUUCAUCACUAAAAAUAGCCCUAGUCUAACAUAUAUUGGAGGCUUUCCUUGUGUCAGGUACUCAUUUAUUCUUCCCAAACCUUGGGAGGUAGGUGCUGCUAUUCCUCCGUUCUGCAGAGGAGGAAGAGAGAUGAGGAGACAGUAGAUCACCAGAGGGCACCGUGAGGGGUGUGCUGGAAACAUCAUGUGGAACAGGCUCUGGUUCCAGAAUCCACAUCCUCUCGGUCAUUCCACUCCCUCAUCAAGUGGCUUUGGACAA